CUGGUGCCAGCAGCCGCGGUAAUUCCAGCCCAAUAGCGUAUNUUAAAGUUGUUGCAGUUAAAAGCUCGUAGUUGAAUUUCGGGGUCUAUCCGUCGGUCGGGCUUUUUGGUCUGUACUGGCGUGAUGGAUUCCUACCUUCUGAAUAACCGGCAUGCCAUUAAUUUGGUGCGCUGGGGAAGCAGGACUGUUACCUUGAAAAAAUUAGAGUGCUUAAAGCAGGCUUGCGCCUGAAUACAUUAGCAUGGAAUAAUGAAAUAGGACGGCUUGGUUCUAUUUUGUUGGUUUCUAGGAUCGACGUAAUGAUUAAUAGGGAUAGUUGGGGGCAUUAGUAUUCAAUUGUCAGAGGUGGAAUUCUUGGAUUUAUUGAAGACUAACUACUGCGAAAGCAUUUGCCAAGGAUGUUUUCAUUAAUCAAGAACGAAAGUUAGGGGAUCGAAGACGAUCAGAUACCGUCGUAGUCUUAACCAUAAACUAUGCCGACUAGGGAUCGGAUGAUGUUAAUUUUUUAAUGACUCAUUCGGCGCCUUACG
This 530-nucleotide ribosomal RNA is filed under the name uncultured Acaulospora. RNAcentral describes it as "SSU rRNA". It matches the Rfam family "Eukaryotic small subunit ribosomal RNA", at positions 561 to 1092 of the family's 1831-position model. Lineage: Eukaryota; Fungi; Glomeromycota; Glomeromycetes; Diversisporales; Acaulosporaceae. The record is from RNAcentral.